This 696-nucleotide ribosomal RNA is filed under the name Triticum aestivum (bread wheat). RNAcentral's name for it is "partial small subunit ribosomal RNA". The record is from RNAcentral. Lineage: Eukaryota; Viridiplantae; Streptophyta; Magnoliopsida; Poales; Poaceae.
GGCACAUGCAGCAUUUGUGGCUACGGGGAGGAGGACGAGCACCAUGCCGUUAUUACCUGUACCAAGAGCCGGGCCUUGAGGGCAGAAAUGAGAAAGAUCUGGGCGUUACCGGCUGAGCAUAAACUAAGAUACACUGGAACAGAUUGGUUACAAGUUGUCCUCGAUGCGGAAAAUGAGGAGGUGCGCGCCAAGUUACUGUUACUCCUAUGGCGACGCUGGCACCAUAGGGAAGAUUGCAUGCGCCAUGAUGGUAAAGAAUCUAUCAUGGGUUCUGUGAUCUUCUUGCAGAAGUACGAGGAGGACUUGAGGUCUGCUGUCGGGACCAAUGACAACCAGGGCGACCUCCUGAAGGCGGGAGUGGAGAGGGGAACUCGAACCGCUGGCCCAAUUCCCAAAGCAGAUAAGUGGUCGGCGCCCAACCGGGGAACGGCCAAAAUAAAUACCGACGCUGCUUUCAAUACUACCACCGGGGAGAGCGCAGCCGGCGCAAUUGCCAGGGACUACAGAGGACUGGUCUUUCUUUCUGUCUGCAAAAAGCUGCCGGAGUGUAGCAGUGUUAGUGAGGCUGAGGCCAGAGCUGCCCUGGUUGGGCUCACGUCGAUGAGCAAAUACUAUAAUGGGGAGGUGGUACUGGAGAUGGAUAAUCAAGACGUCAUUGAUGAGUUAAACUCAAAACUCCCUCCCCGAUCGGACUGA